This 253-nucleotide ribosomal RNA is filed under the name uncultured bacterium. RNAcentral's name for it is "partial 16S ribosomal RNA". It matches the Rfam family "Bacterial small subunit ribosomal RNA", at positions 524 to 776 of the family's 1533-position model. The record is from RNAcentral.
UACAGAGGUCUCAAGCGUUGUUCGGAUUCAUUGGGCGUAAAGGGUGCGUAGGUGGCGAGGCAAGUCAGAUGUGAAAUCCCGGGGCUCAACCCCGGAACUGCAUUUGAAACUGCCUUGCUCGAGUACUGGAGAGGAGACUGGAAUUUACGGUGUAGCAGUGAAAUGCGUAGAUAUCGUAAGGAAGACCAGUGGCGAAGGCGAGUCUCUGGACAGUUACUGACGCUGAGGCACGAAGGCCAGGGGAGCAAACGGG